GGUAGCCUAGUGGUUAGAGACAGGUAGUCUAGUGGUUAGAGACAGGUAGCCUAGUGGUUAGAGACAGGUAGCCUAGUGGUUAGAGACAGGUAGCCUAGUGGUUAGAGACAGGUAGCCUAGUGGUUAGAGACAGGUAGCCUAGUGGUUAGAGACAGGUAGCCUAGUGGUUAGAGACAGGUAGCCUAGUGGUUAGAGGAGGUAGCCUAGUGGUUAGAGACAGGUAGUCUAGUGGUUAGAGACAGGUAGACUAGUGGUUAGAGACAGGUAGCCUAGUGGUUAGAGACAGGUAGCCUAGUGGUUAGAGACAGGUAGUCUAGUGGUUAGAGACAGGUAGCCUAGUGGUUAGAGACAGGUAGCCUAGUGGUUAGAGACAGGUAGCCUAGUGGUUAGAGACAGGUAGCCUAGUGGUUAGAGACAGGUAGACUAGUGGUUAGAGACAGGUAGACUAGUGGUUAGAGACAGGUAGUCUAGUGGUUAGAGACAGGUAGCCUAGUGGUUAGAGACAGGUAGCCUAGUGGUUAGAGACAGGUAGCCUAGUGGUUAGAGACAGGUAGACUAGUGGUUAGAGACAGGUAGUCUAGUGGUUAGAGACAGGUAGACUAGUGGUUAGAGACAGGUAGCCUAGUGGUUAGAGACAGGUAGACUAGUGGUUAGAGACAGGUAGCCUAGUGGUUAGAGACAGGUAGCCUAGUGGUUAGAGACAGGUAGUCUAGUGGUUAGAGACAGGUAGUCUAGUGGUUAGAGACAGGUAGCCUAGUGGUUAGAGACAGGUAGUCUAGUGGUUAGAGACAGGUAGCCUAGUGGUUAGAGACAGGUAGACUAGUGGUUAGAGACAGGUAGACUAGUGGUUAGAGACAGGUAGCCUAGUGGUUAGAGACAGGUAGACUAGUGGUUAGAGACAGGUAGCCUAGUGGUUAGAGACAGGUAGCCUAGUGGUUAGAGACAGGUAGACUAGUGGUUAGAGACAGGUAGCCUAGUGGUUAGAGACAGGUAGCCUAGUGGUUAGAGACAGGUAGACUAGUGGUUAGAGACAGGUAGCCUAGUGGUUAGAGACAGGUAGACUAGUGGUUAGAGACAGGUAGCCUAGUGGUUAGAGACAGGUAGCCUAGUGGUUAGAGACAGGUAGCCUAGUGGUUAGAGACAGGUAGACUAGUGGUUAGAGACAGGUAGCCUAGUGGUUAGAGACAGGUAGACUAGUGGUUAGAGACAGGUAGCCUAGUGGUUAGAGGCAGGUAGCCUAGUGGUUAGAGACAGGUAGCCUAGUGGUUAGAGACAGGUAGCCUAGUGGUUAGAGACAGGUAGACUAGUGGUUAGAGACAGGUAGACUAGUGGUUAGAGACAGGUAGCCUAGUGGUUAGAGACAGGUAGCCUAGUGGUUAGAGACAGGUAGCCUAGUGGUUAGAGACAGGUAGCCUAGUGGUUAGAGACAGGUAGCCUAGUGGUUAGAGACAGGUAGCCUAGUGGUUAGAGACAGGUAGCCUAGUGGUUAGAGACAGGUAGCCUAGUGGUUAGAGACAGGUAGUCUAGUGGUUAGAGACAGGUAGCCUAGUGGUUAGAGACAGGUAGACUAGUGGUUAGAGACAGGUAGCCUAGUGGUUAGAGACAGGUAGCCUAGUGGUUAGAGACAGGUAGCCUAGUGGUUAGAGACAGGUAGCCUAGUGGUUAGAGACAGGUAGCCUAGUGGUUAGAGACAGGUAGCCUAGUGGUUAGAGACAGGUAGACUAGUGGUUAGAGACAGGUAGACUAGUGGUUAGAGACAGGUAGACUAGUGGUUAGAGACAGGUAGACUAGUGGUUAGAGACAGGUAGCCUAGUGGUUAGAGCGUUGGACCUGGUAACCGGAAGGUUGCAAGUUCGAUUCCCCGACAUUUCCCCGACAUUUCCCCAACUCGAUUUACCUGACAAGGUAAAAAUCUGUCGUUCUGCCCCUGAACAAGGCAGUGAACAAGGCUCUAUUCCUAGGCAGUCAAUGAAUAUAAUAAUUUGUUCUUAACGGACUUGCCUA
Long non-coding RNA from Oncorhynchus keta (chum salmon), 2004 nucleotides. RefSeq lists it as uncharacterized. NCBI's taxonomy places the organism in Eukaryota, Metazoa, Chordata, Actinopteri, Salmoniformes, Salmonidae. The transcript has 3 exons. The record is from RefSeq and is a predicted model, not a curated record.